Danio rerio (zebrafish) is the source of this 608-nucleotide non-coding RNA. The record is from Ensembl. NCBI's taxonomy places the organism in Eukaryota, Metazoa, Chordata, Actinopteri, Cypriniformes, Danionidae.
AUCCGCAGUUUCCUGCUGGUUUGUUCCUGUGCUGCUGCUCUUCACGUUCAUCCGAGAAUGUUGAGCAAAAUAAUCGGAAACAAAUACGCGUCCAUCGCGAAAACAUGGGUCCCCAAUCUUGUUUUCUGGGGGGGAGCAGGAGGUGUAGUUUUUGUCCACUUCACCGACUGGCGGCUCAUCCUGGACUACGUUCCCUACAUUAACGGAAAAUUCAAGAAAGAUGAUUAGAAGGUCAGUGUUGUCUAGUGGACUGAAGAUGGAGACGGGGCUCAAAACAUCUGAAUCAGACCCCUCUGUUCAUCAGCUGCCAACAAACAGUGUGAUAUUUAUUUCAGGAGCUUUGGAUUGAUUUGCCCUGGUGAUCCUUCAGUGUGGAUGUACACUCACUGAUGUCCAACAAUCAACAUUGGCUGAUGGAAAAGCAGGAGGUUUUUAUUCGACAGCAUCACUGUUUGAUUCCUCUGAAUCCUCCUGGAGUAAAUACACCGUCAAUCAUUCUCUCGUUAUGAAUAACCUCUGCGCGGACCUGAGCUCUGUUUGAUCGCUCUGUUGUGUUUUCCGUGUCAUCUGCAGGUUGAUGCGGUGCUUUAAUAAAGUACUUUAAUGUG